AGUGAACGCUGGCGGUAGGCCUAACACAUGCAAGUCGAACGGCAGCACAGUAAGAGCUUGCUCUUACGGGUGGCGAGUGGCGGACGGGUGAGGAAUACAUCGGAAUCUACUUUUUCGUGGGGGAUAACGUAGGGAAACUUGCGCUAAUACCGCAUACGACCUACGGGUGAAAGCAGGGGAUCUUCGGACCUUGCGCGAUUGAAUGAGCCGAUGUCGGAUUAGCUAGUUGGCGGGGUAAAGGCCCACCAAGGCGACGAUCCGUAGCUGGUCUGAGAGGAUGAUCAGCCACACUGGAACUGAGACACGGUCCAGACUCCUACGGGAGGCAGCAGUGGGGAAUAUUGGACAAUGGGCGCAAGCCUGAUCCAGCCAUGCCGCGUGGGUGAAGAAGGCCUUCGGGUUGUAAAGCCCUUUUGUUGGGAAAGAAAAGCAGCAGGUUAAUACCCCGCUGUUCUGACGGUACCCAAAGAAUAAGCACCGGCUAACUUCGUG
RNAcentral lists this ribosomal RNA (492 nucleotides) under uncultured bacterium. RNAcentral describes it as "partial 16S ribosomal RNA". It matches the Rfam family "Bacterial small subunit ribosomal RNA", at positions 29 to 507 of the family's 1533-position model. The record is from RNAcentral.